This 225-nucleotide unclassified non-coding RNA is filed under the name uncultured fungus. RNAcentral's name for it is "partial contains 18S rRNA, ITS1, 5.8S rRNA, ITS2 and 28S rRNA". The record is from RNAcentral. Lineage: Eukaryota; Fungi.
AAGGAUCAUUACCGAGUGAGGGCCCUCUGGGUCCAACCUCCCACCCGUGUCUAUCGUACCUUGUUGCUUCGGCGGGCCCGCCGUUUCGACGGCCGCCGGGGAGGCCUUGCGCCCCCGGGCCCGCGCCCGCCGAAGACCCCAACAUGAACGCUGUUCUGAAAGUAUGCAGUCUGAGUUGAUUAUCGUAAUCAGUUAAAACUUUCAACAACGGAUCUCUUGGUUCCG